This 744-nucleotide ribosomal RNA is filed under the name Escherichia coli. RNAcentral's name for it is "partial 23S ribosomal RNA". It matches the Rfam family "Bacterial large subunit ribosomal RNA", at positions 150 to 934 of the family's 2925-position model. Lineage: Bacteria; Pseudomonadati; Pseudomonadota; Gammaproteobacteria; Enterobacterales; Enterobacteriaceae. The record is from RNAcentral.
AUCAUUAACUGAAUCCAUAGGUUAAUGAGGCGAACCGGGGGAACUGAAACAUCUAAGUAACCCGAGGAAAAGAAAUCAACCGAGAUUCCCCCAGUAGCGGCGAGCGAACGGGGAGCAGCCCAGAGCCUGAAUCAGUGUGUGUGUUAGUGGAAGCGUCUGGAAAGGCGUGCGAUACAGGGUGACAGCCCCGUACACAAAAAUGCACAUAUUGUGAGCUCGAUGAGUAGGGCGGGACACGUGGUAUCCUGUCUGAAUAUGGGGGGACCAUCCUCCAAGGCUAAAUACUCCUGACUGACCGAUAGUGAACCAGUACCGUGAGGGAAAGGCGAAAAGAACCCCGGCGAGGGGAGUGAAAAAGAACCUGAAACCGUGUACGUACAAGCAGUGGGAGCACGCUUAGGCGUGUGACUGCGUACCUUUUGUAUAAUGGGUCAGCGACUUAUAUUCUGUAGCAAGGUUAACCGAAUAGGGGAGCCGAAGGGAAACCGAGUCUUAACUGGGCGUUAAGUUGCAGGGUAUAGACCCGAAACCCGGUGAUCUAGCCAUGGGCAGGUUGAAGGUUGGGUAACACUAACUGGAGGACCGAACCGACUAAUGUUGAAAAAUUAGCGGAUGACUUGUGGCUGGGGGUGAAAGGCCAAUCAAACCGGGAGAUAGCUGGUUCUCCCCGAAAGCUAUUUAGGUAGCGCCUCGUGAAUUCAUCUCCGGGGGUAGAGCACUGUUUCGGCAAGGGGGUCAUCCCGA